UGGGGAGUUUUGGACAAUGGGCGCAAGCCUGAUCCAGCCAUGCCGCGUGCGGGAAGAAGGCCUUCGGGUUGUAAACCGCUUUUGUCAGGGAAGAAAUCUUCUGAGUUAAUACCUCGGGAGGAUGACGGUACCUGAAGAGUAAGCACCGGCUAACUACGUGCCAGCAGCCGCGGUAAUACGUAGGGUGCAAGCGUUAAUCGGAAUUACUGGGCGUAAAGCGUGCGCAGGCGGUUUUGUAAGACAGAGGUGAAAUCCCCGGGCUCAACCUGGGAACUGCCUUUGUGACUGCAAGGCUUGAGUGCGGCAGAGGGGGAUGGAAUUCCGCGUGUAGCAGUGAAAUGCGUAGAUAUGCGGAGGAACACCGAUGGCGAAGGCAAUCCCCUGGGCCUGCACUGACGCUCAUGCACGAAAGCGUGGGGAGCAAACAGGAUUAGAUAGCCCUGGUGGUCCACGCCCUAAACGAUGUCAACUGGUUGUUGGGAAGGUUCCUUCUCAGUAACGUAGCUAACGCGUGAAGUUG
This 520-nucleotide ribosomal RNA is filed under the name uncultured bacterium. RNAcentral's name for it is "partial 16S ribosomal RNA". It matches the Rfam family "Bacterial small subunit ribosomal RNA", at positions 355 to 867 of the family's 1533-position model. The record is from RNAcentral.